GGGGUAGAUGGUGUGGUAGGUUUUGGUGUUGUUGAAGUAGAUUUUGUGGUAGCUGUCGAUAUAGGGGAAGAUGGUGUAGUAGAUUUUGGUGUUGUUGUAAUAGACUUUGUGGUAGCUGUCAAUGUAGGGGUAGAUGACGUGGUAGGUUUUGGUGUUGUUGUUGUAGUAGACUUUAUUGUAAUUGUUGAUGUUGGGAUAGAUGGUGUGGUAGCUGUCUGUGUUGUAAUAGACUUUGUGGUCUGUGCAGUGGAAGAUGGUAUGGUUGUUGAAGUAGUCUUUGUAGUAAUUGUUGGUGUAGGGCUAGAUUGUGUGGUAAGUUUUGGUGUUGUAGUAGAUUUUGUUGUAGUUGUCGGUGUAGGGAAAGUUGGUGUGGUAUAUUUUGGUGUUGGGGGUGUUGUAGUAGACUUCGUGGAAGCUGUUGGUGUGGGGGUAGAUGGUGUGGUAGGUUUUGGUGUUGUUGUAGUAGACUUCGUGGAAGCUGUUGAUGUGGGGGUAGAUGGUGUGGUAGGUUUGGGUGAUGUUGUGGUAGCUGUUGGUGUAGGGGAAGAUGGUGUAGUAGGUUUGGGUGUUCCUGUAGUAGACUUUGUGCUAGGUGUCGUUGCAGGGGUAGAUGGUGUGGUAGGUUUUGGUGUAGUUGUAGUAGACUUUGUUGUAGUUGUCGGUGUAGGAGAAGAUGGUGUGGUAGGUUUUGGUGUUGUUGUCGGUGUAGGAGAAGAUGGUGUGGUAGGUUUUGGUGUUGUUGUAGUAGACUUAGUGGAAGCUGUUGAUGUGGGGGUAGAUGGUGUGGUAGGUUUGGGUGAUGUUGUGGUAGCUGUUGGUGUAGGGGAAGAUGGCGUGGUAUGUUUUGGUGUUGUAGUAGUAGAC
Long non-coding RNA from Carassius gibelio (silver crucian carp), 864 nucleotides. RefSeq lists it as uncharacterized. Lineage: Eukaryota; Metazoa; Chordata; Actinopteri; Cypriniformes; Cyprinidae. The transcript is spliced from 6 exons. The record is from RefSeq and is a predicted model, not a curated record.